GGAGAGGUGACCCAUAGAAGCCUAGAAUCAUAGACCAGCCAAGUUUGUCCAGGAGGAAGCUGUGGGAAACAGUGUUGAAGACUUUGCUGAAGUCUAGAGGGCCACAGAGAAUAAACCAGAAUUCCCCUUUUAUUGACGUCAGUGAACACAGAUUGCAUCAGGGCUGGCUAAGUACUUCUUGUAAACUCUGAUCUGAAGAAAAGAUUUAAAAGACCAGAAUUUCAGCAAGAAAAAAAUGGAAAUGAAC
Long non-coding RNA from Vidua chalybeata, 247 nucleotides. RefSeq lists it as uncharacterized. The record is from RefSeq and is a predicted model, not a curated record. Lineage: Eukaryota; Metazoa; Chordata; Aves; Passeriformes; Viduidae. The transcript has 4 exons.